AAAGCAAAAUAAAUUCAUACAUGUUGUAAUAUAGAUAACCAAAGUAUAAAAUUUAAUUUACAGUGGCACGUGGGCCCACGAAUGACUAAAAGUAUCAAAAGAAAUGAAAACACAGUUUUUGGAUGUGGCUAGUCCAACUAUAGUCCUCCACGAUAUCAGUUAUCUACAAUCUAUUCUAAGCCUGAAAUGGGUGGAAAGGAAGGUGGUGAGAUUAUAAAAUCUCAGUGAGUAAACAAAUAUCAUUUCAAAUAUCUAAAGGCGAGUAAAAGGAGACUAUUAAAACAUUUCAUCAAACUGUAAUUUAUCAUCUUUCAACUUAUUUCAACCAAAUAAAAUCAAUUUAUUUAAAUCAAGAAAUCAGUAUGGCUUAUGAAUUUCUUAAAAGCUUGGCUCAUGCCAAAAACUAUUAUCAAAGUCAGUUAUCUGAGAUAGCUUAGCCGAGGGCUAUCUUAAUUGAGUCCGCUAAGGCUAUUAGAAAGUCAUGUUUUUAUUUUGAAAACCUAGCCGUUCCUUGGCAUUGGCCGAGUUCCCCCUCACGUGGUGAUUUAGUGUGAAGUGAACUCCAAAAGUUAUACCUCGGGAGUUACCCUACUCACCUCUCCAAUCAAGGUAAAAUAUAAUGGGGUUUACGGUGCCCCUCUAAUAGGCUAGUCCACGGAAACCCGCCUACUACAGUAAGCUAAUAAUUAUCCCACCAAUCAAUAAAAUUCAAUAACAUGAUAUGGCAAUUAUUGUAAUUCACAGCCUUUCAAGGCUAAAUACACAUUUCAUAUAUUUCAACACAAAUAUCAAUUUAGCCAUUCAUGCAAAUAUUGUCAUAAGCCAUUCGAUUCAAAUCAUAAAUUUUACAAUAUAACAAGUGGUCUCCAAUUACUCUAUUUUGCAAAAUCAUUAUUCAAUUUCAAGACAAUUUAUAAAAUCUUUUCAUGUAAACACAUUUUGUUUGUAAAACACAAAGAUUUACCAUUUAAACUCAUUUUCAUAAAACUUCACCAAAAUCGAUUAAAAACACACUUUAGAUAAUUAAAAUGAUAGUAAGGUUACUCACAGUACUAGGAGUUCGAUAUACUCCUAUUUCCAGUCUUCGGGCACAAUCUCUUUACCCUUGUUAGAGGGCUCACCACCUAUACAUCAUACGUUACACAAAUUUCAAUAAAUUGUGUCAAUUUAUCAUAAACUAUUUCAGGCUCUAUAAAUCUAUAUGAAUGCAUGAAAUGUGAUGCAAAAUGUCCAAAUAGCCGUUUAAAUACGGUAUUUUACCUAAUUCACACUAUUCUCGGUGUAAUUGGCUAAAACCUCCAAUUUAACUCCAAAUCAAUUUUUUUCACUUUCUACACUCCAAUUAUACCUAAAUUACCUUAGUGACUGUGAAUGAGAUUCAAUUUAUCAGUCCCGUGUCAAUAAUCACACAUGUCUAUACAUCAAGUAAAAAUUCAUAUUUUCACACCAAAAUUUCCCAUUUAAUUUCUAGCCUCACCAAACAUCAAAUAUCACCAAAAUAUCAUGAAAUAUCAUCAAUUUCAGCCACAAUAUCCUCCCUAGGAAAUUCGGCCAUUGAUAGUUGAUGGGGAAAAUGAAUUCUUUUCUUGUUGUUUUGUUUCUAAAUAUGCUAAACUAACUAAAAACACUAACAUAACUUAAAAUCAAAUCAAUCUAACAUCUUUCUCUUUCCAUACCCAUUUUGACCAGACAUGAAUUCACCAUUAAAACUGAAAUCUAACCAUGAAAAAUAAGGAGAAAUGCAUGAGAAAGGUAGAUCACAAGUCAAAAUCAAGAAAUUUUACCUUUGAUUGCUUGAUUCCUUGAAAUCCACCAAUUUUCCUUUGAAUUUUCCCACCUAGGGUUCUUGUUUUUCUUUUCUCCCUUUGUUCUUUCUUUGCUCUUGGUUUGGCAGGCCAU
This 1899-nucleotide long non-coding RNA is filed under the name Theobroma cacao (cacao). RNAcentral's name for it is "long non-coding RNA (TCAC_LNC006375)". The record is from RNAcentral. Lineage: Eukaryota; Viridiplantae; Streptophyta; Magnoliopsida; Malvales; Malvaceae.